RNAcentral lists this transfer RNA (81 nucleotides) under Alosa alosa (allis shad). Its description in RNAcentral is "tRNA-OTHER". The record is from RNAcentral. Lineage: Eukaryota; Metazoa; Chordata; Actinopteri; Clupeiformes; Clupeidae.
GCGGUGGUAGCAUAGUGGUUAAGGAGCUGGGCUAGCACGCAGUAGCCUAAAAAGUUGUGAGUUCAAUUCCCAGCCAUUGUG